Molecule: ribosomal RNA, 460 nt
Filed under: uncultured bacterium
Lineage: Bacteria
Description: partial 16S ribosomal RNA
Rfam family: Bacterial small subunit ribosomal RNA
Source: RNAcentral
CCUACGGGAGGCAGCAGUGAGGAAUAUUGCUCAAUGGACGAGACUCUGAACCAGCCAAGCAGCGUGAAGGAUGACUGCCCUAUGUGUUGUAAACUUCUUUUAUAUGGGAGUAAAAUGUUCCACGUGUGGGAUUUUGUAUGUACCAUAUGCAUACGGAUCGGCUAACUCCGUGCCAGCAGCCGCGGUAAUACGGAGGAUCCGAGCGUUAUCCGGAUUUAUUGGGUUUAAAGGGAGCGUAGGUGGAUUGUUAAGUCAGUUGUGAAAGUUUGCGGCUCAACCGUAAAAUUGCAGUUGAAACUGGCAGUCUUGAGUACAGGAGAGGUGGGCGGAAUUCGUGGUGUAGCGGUGAAAUGCGUAGAUAUCACGAAGAACUCCGAUUGCGAAGGCAGUUCACUGGACUGCAACUGACACUGAGGCUCGAAAGUGUGGGUAUCAAACAGGAUUAGAUACCCUAGUAGUC